Molecule: ribosomal RNA, 296 nt
Filed under: Promitobates nigripes
Lineage: Eukaryota; Metazoa; Arthropoda; Arachnida; Opiliones; Gonyleptidae
Description: partial 16S ribosomal RNA
Source: RNAcentral
GCAUAAUCAAUUGUUUUUUAAUUGGGGACUGGAAUGAAUGGGGAUGACUGAAAAGGAAGUUUUAAUUGAUAAAUUUGAAUUUAAAUUAAAAGUAAAAAUGCUUUUGUUAUUCUUUGGGACGAGAAGACCCUAGAAGCUUUUAAAGUUUGGAUUUUUGGGUUGGGGCAAUUAAUGAAGAUGAAGAUUUUUGUUGUGUAAAAAGAUAUUUAAUUUAAGUUACUCUAGGGAUAACAGCGUUAUUUAGUUCAUAAGUUCUUAUUAGUAACUAGGUUUGCGACCUCGAUGUUGAAUUAAUA